GGCGCCCCGAGUCCUCCUUUUGCACACACACGAAUACAAAGAGCCAUACGACCUUCGGGUAUCCUUUUUCCAUUUUUUUCCCCUACUUAAUCUUGUGUGUGUUUUCAAAUUUUUUAAAAAUAGAGAUCUGUGGCAGUGCUGGGGAUCAGAUUAGUGAAUAAUUAAAUUGCCAGAGUGUAUACUCCAUGUUGCAAAUGAAGGUAGGCAAUUUAUUGAAUCUGUAGUUCAAAGAUGCCUUUAGUGAUUGUUUUGCCUAAGUGGUUUUGCUUUUUAUUGUCUCACGUUCUUAAAUGUACAGCUGUGUAUAUUUUGGCCUUUAUGUAUGGUUUGGUUGUUGUGUUCCGAACGGAAGUUCUCUCUUGGCUUUUUGACAAAAUAGUCAUUUAUUGGUUGGGAUUUGUUUGAAAAGCUCCACAGUUGGUAAAAUAUCAGGAAAAAUUCAGUCAAGUCCACUCUCAAAAACUGUUCACAGUGGUGUUGAUGGGGGCCAAGAGGAGGCAAAGGCAGAUAAUAGGGAUAAGGAAUGCAUUUUGUUAUCAUGUUGGAUUUUUGGAAUGAAAAUCCUCUCUUGGUCUAAGUCUCAGUGACAAGUGAAUUAGAGGACAACAGGCUCAGAGCAGAGCCUCCUGCUGUAGAAGGCCUACUGUCACUUCCUGCUUUUAUAGAACCAGACAUCUCAUUAGCAGUCAUACAGACAGUAUCUGUACUCAAAUCUGUAUUUACAGAUUGGAAUGAAAGCACAGAAAUAUAUGGGGUGAUGAGGGAGAAACUGGAAUGUCACAAGUGUAGUAGCAAGCAGGUGAUUAAAAGAAUCUACUUCAUUACAAAACCUCUGUGUGAUAAUCAUAUAUUCCCAUCCUUCAGCUGUGUCCUCCAUUUCAAGCAGUAUUUAAGACACCUAAGUAACAACUGCAAUAAAAAUGUGUAUAAGGUCGUGAAUUCAUUAUAAGGAAAAUGACCCUGUGUGGGGUCCCCGGGUUUCUAACAGUAUAUUUUUAUCCCCUAACAAUGUGAGUUAGAUCAGCGUUUAAUAAAUGCUGGCUCGAAUGUGGAUCAUUCCACAAGUUAAGACCUGCGUUGCUUUCCAAAUCUUCGCAGAUGCUGACUUUUGUUACCUCAGCAGUGAUGGGAAUUCUUAAUGAGGUUUUGCUCUAACUCUCCGAAUAUACUACAGGUUACCACGUACACUUUUUAGCUUCUCAGAAAAGGGAGAGGUACACUUCCUAGGCUACUCAAUUUCGGUAUCUUGGGACCUAUGCUCAUAUGCAACGUAGUUGCUUUGAAUUUCUUUGUAAGAAAGAGAAUUCCUCAUGCAAAUACAUCGUUGGCUUGGCUUUAACAAAGAAAAGCAAAUAUACGCUGAGUUGAUUUCUUUUCUUUCUUUCUGGGAAUGCGAGGGUCCCCCAAAGAUGAAAACUUUGACUAAGAGGAACUGCUGUUUUGCAAGCGUUACCUGAAAACCUGUAACCAAGGCCAGCUGGAACUAAAAAUCAACCACCAUCAAGCGUAUGAAACCGAUCUGAGGUCACUGUACUUAUAAUCGUGUACACAUAGCUUUGUGAAGAGCAAAGAACAAAAGCAAGUAAACAAAAAAGCCAAAGAUGGCGUCUGACGGCCUUGAAAAAGCCUCGCACUCUUGUCCCUCCCUGAGAAGGCCCCUCCCCUCCCUGUCUCGUUGAGUGACCGGUAAUGUUUGCCAAUAGCAACCCUGCUUAUGCUCACACACACGCCCAUCGCCCAACCACCAAUCAUUGAGAGCCAGAAGGCAAGCGGGGCGGUGCUUUUCUGCGUGCGCGCGCUGUGGCUGAGUACACGAGCCGGAGCAACUGACUCAGCCACCACCCGGGUCUUGUUGAGUCAGCGGGCGUGGGGCUUCGAGGCACCUGUGGUGGAACACCCGUGGGGCUGCUAGAGUGGGACCCCGCGGCGAGCGUCCGCCCCUGCCCAGGACCUCAGCUUUCCUAGCCACAUAAUUACCCACGUUGACCCAGCAAGAUCCCCUACCGCGCCUCGACCUCUGGGCUCUCCACCGCCCGCCGGGGACUGUCCCCUGGUCCGGCGCACAGUGGCGGGGCUCCCGGUCCCUGCGCCUGACGACUGCUCGGCGUCGCUGCGCUCUCUGCCUGUAGCCAAAUCACACUGCCUGUCGGGAAUGGUUCUGUUGUCCCUGGCGCCCACCUUGUCAUCUUUGACUAAUAUUUAAUCGACUAACAUUUACCGAGGACUUGCUGGGCGCGUGAUAGGGUUCUAGGAGCUAACUUUCCAUUUUUCAGUUUCUCCAGAAAAGCAGUAAGUGCUCUUUUAUGUCAGGCACAUUUAUAUGAAAAUCUGAAAGUGGAAAUUAUGGUCUUACCAAGUUGCACUUUAGCAAAUGUAAAUAAAAAAGGAUUGUGCUUAUGCUAAGUUAAAAACUCAUCCCCUGAUCUGCCAAUAAACAUGUAAUUUGGGGAUUACAUGGAAUCAUUGUUUAAAGCCCUUCUGCCCUCUGGGUCUGCAAUUCUGUUUUGUACACCUAACGAUGAGGGGUUUUUUUGUUGUUUUUUGCAAAUCAUUAGAUGGGUCAGUCUUUCAGAAUGUAAGGAAAUUGUAUUUUAUGGUACCUGAUUACCUGCUCAUGUGUGAUAGGAUCUCAUUUCUGAUAGAAAAAUAGGUUUUGAGAGGAUCUUCAAACAGGUGAGCCAUUUUGCACCUUGAUGUGGAGGAGCAGAGUUGACCAACCAGGAGGAGCUUUAAGUGGCCAUUUUUCCUUUUUUAUUUCUUAAAAUGAAGAUUAUGAUAUGAAUUGCCAGGCUUUCUGUAAUCACGUUUAAGAAAGUCCGUUUCUAGCCUGACCCUGAGCAAGCCAAAGGCCCAUUAUAAGAGCAUAUAUCAUUCUGAGGGAUACUGUAUCACACACAUCUAUUAAGUAGUGAGAAAACUUAUUUUUCAUAGUUUGGAGGUGAACUCAGUCAAGCAGAAAAUUCAAACUCAGAAUGGGGAGAAAGCAAGCAAGGGUACUGGCAAGAGUAUGAUAUAUUCAGUCCCAACAAAAAUACAUGUGACUCAGGAGAGAGGGAUGUUUAAGAUUAUGAACAGUCUCAGUGGAUAACUAGGUUGAUAUAUAGUACCUGCAAUAUAAAGAACAUUUGAGAAGUUUGUAAUGGUUUUCAUUUGAAAUAUUUAGAC
Molecule: long non-coding RNA, 3165 nt
Filed under: Heterocephalus glaber (naked mole-rat)
Lineage: Eukaryota; Metazoa; Chordata; Mammalia; Rodentia; Bathyergidae
Description: lncRNA (ENSHGLG00000042297.1)
Source: RNAcentral